CGUGGGGUGCAAGCGUUAAUCGGAAUUACUGGGCGUAAAGCGUGCGCAGGCGGUGAUGUAAGACAGAUGUGAAAUCCCCGGGCUCAACCUGGGAACUGCAUUUGUGACUGCAUCGCUGGAGUGCGGCAGAGGGGGAUGGAAUUCCGCGUGUAGCGGUGAAAUGCGUAGAUAUUGGGAGGAACACCAGUGGCGAAGGCGGCUCACUGGACUGGUACUGACGCUGAGGCGCGAAAGCGUGGGGAGCAAACGGGA
Molecule: ribosomal RNA, 252 nt
Filed under: uncultured prokaryote
Description: partial 16S ribosomal RNA
Rfam family: Bacterial small subunit ribosomal RNA
Source: RNAcentral